UAGCAAAACAUUUCAGAGUUGGUUACAUAGUGUUUUUUUAUUAUUUUAUUUUACCUUUAUUUAGGAUGUGGCUUGGAAACAUGUUAACAUUUAAAAAGAAGGCAGGUAAUUAGUAGGAAACAUUUUUUUUAUGAUUGUGAUGUCACCAGAUUGACUUUAGAUGCAGUCUAACUUUAGCCAGCUAACUAAGAUUGAGAGGACCACUGUAUUUUAGUGUAACGGCGUCACCAGCCUGAAUCCAAUCUGGAGCAAGUAAAGUCUACAUCUGUAAAGCAUAGAAUGGCCAGGACCUACCAGAAGGCGCAAAGCUUGUCAGGCAAGACAUCAGAAUAAAUGUGUGUCAUGCGACACAAGUACCCUUGUGACACCUCCUUCGUUGUUGCCAGUCUCGACUUCUAUGAAAAGGACACGCAAUCAUGAGGACUCUGAUGGUGAUCCGAGUUACUGCCCUGAUAAAAACAGACUGCUUCAUCAACAACGACAGGCCCUCCCAGUCAACACCACUUCAUAAGAUUGCCUGCUGCAGUUUCUCCAGUUUGCAGCUGAACAUGCAGCAUAGAGAAGACCAGCAAGGGGGCCCUCAUCAGCAUCAUGCAGACAUGGCCUCGCUGUGAGCAUUCCUAUGAAUGGAAAUGUCAGCAACAUGCUGGCAAGUAUCUGGCCAGCAAACUUCACCUGUCAGCGGCAACAGCUUUCACAAGGCUCAUAAUUUGUACAAAUACAGAAGGUAACCCACUUCAUUACUUGAAACCAAAAUAUAACUUUUUGGUAAAAACUCAACUCG
Molecule: long non-coding RNA, 784 nt
Organism: Coregonus clupeaformis (lake whitefish)
Lineage: Eukaryota; Metazoa; Chordata; Actinopteri; Salmoniformes; Salmonidae
Exons: 3
Source: RefSeq, a predicted model, not a curated record